RNAcentral lists this ribosomal RNA (301 nucleotides) under uncultured bacterium. RNAcentral's name for it is "partial 16S ribosomal RNA". It matches the Rfam family "Bacterial small subunit ribosomal RNA", at positions 509 to 809 of the family's 1533-position model. The record is from RNAcentral.
CAGUCGCCACGGUAAUACGAAGGGUGCAAGCGUUACUCGGAAUUACUGGGCGUAAAGCGUGCGUAGGUGGUGGUUUAAGUCCGUUGUGAAAGCCCUGGGCUCAACCUGGGAAUUGCAGUGGAUACUGGGUCACUAGAGUGUGGUAGAGGAUAGUGGAAUUUCCGGUGUAGCAGUGAAAUGCGUAGAGAUCGGAAGGAACAUCUGUGGCGAAGGCGACUAUCUGGGCCAACACUGACACUGAGGCACGAAAGCGUGGGGAGCAAACAGGAUUAGAUACCCCAGUAGUCCCUGUCUUUAUACA